CAUGCUGUUCUACAAAGUCAUUAGAGGAUUCCUGACCCAGUCUCAUUCAGCAGGAAAACUAAACGUUUGCUGGAUAAAACCUUUAAAGACUUCAAGGCAGAAAUGAAGGGCAAGGUUGGGGAAGGACAGCUGUCAGGACGGAUCAGAGGCAGAGAGAUACAGGUGACUGAAGAAGAAAAAAAAAAAAUACAGAGCACCUCUGAAAAUGUCAUCUGAGACGAUGUAAAAUCAAGUUUCCCGAGAAUUAAAAGCCAUGGCGUUGAUUUAA
Molecule: long non-coding RNA, 268 nt
Organism: Gasterosteus aculeatus aculeatus (three-spined stickleback)
Lineage: Eukaryota; Metazoa; Chordata; Actinopteri; Perciformes; Gasterosteidae
Source: RefSeq, a predicted model, not a curated record